GCUGGCGGCGUGCCUAACACAUGCAAGUCGAGCGAAGCGCGAAAGUUAGCUUGCUAAUUUUUGUGACUGAGCGGCGAACGGGUGAGUAACACGUGGGUAAUCUACCUGGAAGCCUGGGAUAACAGUUCGAAAGGACUACUAAUACCGGAUGACAUUGAUGAUGUAGAGUCAUUGAUCAAAGCGUUACGGAGCGCUUUCAGAUGAGCCCGCGUCCCAUUAGCUAGUUGGUGAGGUAAAGGCUUACCAAGGCGACGAUGGGUAGCCGGUCUGAGAGGAUGGUCGGCCACACUGGAACUGAGACACGGUCCAGACUCCUACGGGAGGCAGCAGUGGGGAAUUUUCCGCAAUGGGCGAAAGCCUGACGGAGCAACGCCGCGUGAGGGAUGAAGGCCUCUGGGCUGUAAACCUCUUUUCUCAAGGAAGAAGACAUGACGGUACUUGAGGAAUAAGCCACGGCUAAUUCCGUGCCAGCAGCCGCGGUAAUACGGGAGUGGCAAGCGUUAUCCGGAAUUAUUGGGCGUAAAGCGUCCGCAGGCGGCCUUUUAAGUCUGUUGUUAAAGCGUGGAGCUCAACUCCAUUUCGGCAAUGGAAACUGGAAGGCUGGAGUGUGGUAGGGGCAGAGGGAAUUCCCGGUGUAGCGGUGAAAUGCGUAGAUAUCGGGAAGAACACCAGUGGCGAAGGCGCUCUGCUGGGCCAUAACUGACGCUCAUGGACGAAGCCAGGGGAGCGAAGGGAUUAGAUACCCCUGUAGUCCUGGCCGUAAACGAUGAACACUAG
RNAcentral lists this ribosomal RNA (777 nucleotides) under uncultured bacterium. RNAcentral's name for it is "bacterial SSU rRNA". It matches the Rfam family "Bacterial small subunit ribosomal RNA", at positions 35 to 819 of the family's 1533-position model. The record is from RNAcentral.